GGGGAAAGGGAGGAGAGAGAGAAGGAGGGAUAGAGAGAGGGAGAGGGAUAGAGAAAGAAGGAGGAGAUUUAAAGAAGAGUGAAAGAGUGAAAAAUAGUGAGAGAGCGAGAGACAGAGAGAGAGCGAGUCCUCUAGGUAUCCUCUAGCUGUCCUCUAGGUAUCCUCUAGGUAUCCUCUAGCUGUCCUCUAGGUAUCCUCUAGGUAUCCUCUAGGUAUCCUCUAGCUGUCCUCUAGGUAUCCUCUAGGUAUCCUCUAGCUGUCCUCUAGGUAUCCUCUAGGUAUCCUCUAGGUGUCCUCUAGCUAUCCUCUAGGUAUCCUCUAGCUGUGCUCUAGGUGUCCUCUAGCUAUCCCUCUAGGUACUUUCCCCAGCCCAGCUCUCUUUCAUCAGUGCAGAUCAAGGAAAGGAGUUGAAUCAGAAGAAGAGACAAAACGGGUGUGUCUCAAAUGUAACCCUUUUCACUUCAUAGUGCCCUACUUUUGACCCCCGAACUUUAACCUUGGUCAAAAGUUGUGCACUAUGAAUAAGGUCCCAUUUGGAACGCAGACAAUACUGUAUGUCUAGGCUAUUGACACGCACCUAGAGGGGGAUUGACAUAUAGAUAAUUGAAGAGGUUCAUCCACAGGAGGAUAAAACAGAGUGGUACAGGAGGAUAAAACAGAGCGGUACAGGAGGAUAAAACAGAGCGGUACAGGAGGAUAAAACAGAGCGGUACAGGGGGAUAAAACAGAGCGGUACAGGAGGAUAAAACAGAGCGGUACAGGAGGAUAAAACAGAGCGGUACAGGAGGAUAAAACAAGGGUACAGGAGGAUAAAACAGAGCGGUACAGGAGGAUAAAACAGCGGUAGAGGAGGAUAAAACAGAGCAGUACAGGAGGAUAAAACAGAGCGGUACAGGAGGAUAAAACAGAGCAGUACAGGAGGAUAAAACAAGGGUACAGGAGGAUAAAACAGAGCUGUACAGGAGGAAAGAGAAGAACGGGGGAUUUUACACAGAAAGAAAGAGGAUGAAGAGAGGACAGGAAUUCAGUUUCGAAGGUUUCUCAUAACACAACUGAAAAGGGAAGAAGUUAUUUACUCCACUUCAAAUAUGAACCAGUUUCCUUCCAAUGCAUGAUCACAUGGGGGUGUGGCCCAAUUGUCACACUAUUCACUAUAUA
This 1158-nucleotide long non-coding RNA is filed under the name Salmo salar (Atlantic salmon). Its description in RNAcentral is "lncRNA (ENSSSAG00000088778.1)". Lineage: Eukaryota; Metazoa; Chordata; Actinopteri; Salmoniformes; Salmonidae. The record is from RNAcentral.